Molecule: long non-coding RNA, 538 nt
Filed under: Homo sapiens (human)
Lineage: Eukaryota; Metazoa; Chordata; Mammalia; Primates; Hominidae
Description: non-protein coding lnc-FOXG1-3:10
Source: RNAcentral
CACAGAUAUGCAGUCCAUAGUGCUGCUCCUUAUCAACUUGUAGUUAGUAAGGACAAAGUAUAUCAACGUUACCAGACCACAUCUCUGGAUUAUUCACAGAGUCUGCUAUUUCUGUUUGUACUACCAGACCUGAGAAUAUUUAUGCUCCCAUUCCUGCUGACUUCUGCUUUGGGUCAAUUGUGUGAGUAUACCAGCACCAAGCUUCUCAGUGUUUACUCACCCUCUGUUGCCUCAUCUGACUGAGCGUCCCUAAUUGUACAGCGAAGGUACAGGCUUGGAAGGCAUGAAAAUGUUGGCAUAUAGAGAAGUGUCAAAUACCUAGGGGUGAUAAGAGUGCUGCGUUUAGAAGACAAAUGAUAGGAGAUAAAUUGGUCCUGGAGGUUGGGGCUUCUUACAGAAUUGGGGGCCUCUGAAUCUAAAACUUGUGCUCUUAACUGUUCUCCAUUAUUUCCCCCAGCUGGCCUAUUAAACAUCAUCUAUAAAAAAAUCUAUAAUCUAGUUUAGAAACUAGCUUACUCAAAGACACAGAAGUUUGCUC